AUUGAACGCUGGCGGCAUGCUUUACACAUGCAAGUCGGACGGCAGCACAGAGAAGCUUGCUUCUUGGGUGGCGAGUGGCGAACGGGUGAGUAAUAUAUCGGAACGUACCGAGUAAUGGGGGAUAACUAAUCGAAAGAUUAGCUAAUACCGCAUAUUCUCUGAGGAGGAAAGCAGGGGACCUUCGGGCCUUGCGUUAUUCGAGCGGCCGGUAUCUGAUUAGCUAGUUGGUGGGGUAAAGGCCUACCAAGGCGACGAUCAGUAGCGGGUCUGAGAGGAUGAUCCGCCACACUGGGACUGAGACACGGCCCAGACUCCUACGGGAGGCAGCAGUGGGGAAUUUUGGACAAUGGGCGCAAGCCUGAUCCAGCCAUGCCGCGUGUCUGAAGAAGGCCUUCGGGUUGUAAAGGACUUUUGUCAGGGAAGAAAAGGCUGUUGCUAAUACCGACAGCUGAUGACGGUACCUGAAGAAUAAGCACCGGCUAACUACGUGCCAGCAGCCGCGGUAAUACGUAGGGUGCGAGCGUUAAUCGGAAUUACUGGGCGUAAAGCGAGCGCAGACGGUUACUUAAGCAGGAUGUGAAAUCCCCGGGCUCAACCUGGGAACUGCGUUCUGAACUGGGUGACUAGAGUGUGUCAGAGGGAGGUAGAAUUCCACGUGUAGCAGUGAAAUGCGUAGAGAUGUGGAGGAAUACCGAUGGCGAAGCAGCCUCCUGGGAUAACACUGACGUUCAUGCUCGAAAGCGUGGGUAGCAAACACG
Molecule: ribosomal RNA, 758 nt
Filed under: Neisseria subflava
Lineage: Bacteria; Pseudomonadati; Pseudomonadota; Betaproteobacteria; Neisseriales; Neisseriaceae
Description: bacterial SSU rRNA
Rfam family: Bacterial small subunit ribosomal RNA
Source: RNAcentral